CAGUAGCCACGGUAAUACGGAGGGGGCUAGCGUUGUUCGGAAUUACUGGGCGUAAAGCGCACGUAGGCGGCUUGGUAAGUUAGAGGUGAAAGCCCGGAGCUCAACUCCGGAAUUGCCUUUAAGACUGCCGAGCUAGUAGGUGAGAGAGGUAAGUGGAAUUCCGAGUGUAGAGGUGAAAUUCGUAGAUAUUCGGAAGAACACCAGUGGCGAAGGCGGCUUACUGGCUCAUUCUAGACGCUGAGGUGCGAAAGCGUGGGGAGCAAACAGGAUUAGAUACCCGUGUAGUCCCUGUCUCUUAUAC
Molecule: ribosomal RNA, 301 nt
Filed under: uncultured bacterium
Lineage: Bacteria
Description: partial 16S ribosomal RNA
Rfam family: Bacterial small subunit ribosomal RNA
Source: RNAcentral